RNAcentral lists this unclassified non-coding RNA (181 nucleotides) under Glomus sp. RNAcentral's name for it is "partial contains 5.8S ribosomal RNA and internal transcribed spacer 2". The stretch from base 1 to 65 matches the Rfam family "5.8S ribosomal RNA", at positions 84 to 154 of the family's 154-position model. The record is from RNAcentral. Lineage: Eukaryota; Fungi; Glomeromycota; Glomeromycetes; Glomerales; Glomeraceae.
GUGAAUCAUCGAAUUUUUGAACGCAAAUUGCACUCUCCUCGGAGAGUAUGCCUGUUUGAGGGUCAGCCUAUAAAAAUCGACAUCGUUGCGGUUUCGCGGUAACGUUUGUCGGAAAGUGGGGCAUCUUAAAGCUGUGGGUUUAAGCGGGUUAGAAUGUUCUUUUUGGUUCGAUGGGCGUUUC